AUACAAUGAAAGAAGGGGGUGUGUGCGCGUGCAAUUCCUUGGGAGCACAGGAUACAAAGAUGAGGAGUGGGUUGUCGUUGGGGUUUUUUUGCGGGCGGGGGGUGUGUCCCAGCCUUCCUAAUGGAACACGCUCCCUCACCCACCGGUUUUGCAUCUGAAUUCUGAUUGCAUUUAAGUACAGCCCUACAGCCACUUCGGAUGGUGCCGGCGAAAGGAGCCCUUACCUGGUCUUGGAGGACAGGAACGCCAGCUUGAUGAGCCCAUAGGGCUGCCUCCGGGAUAUGACAGGAGGAAUCGAGAGCCCUGCCAAGAAAUUAAACGAAAUUCCCCAGGAAGGCCAUGAAUGCAUUCAAAGGAGUCUCCGAGGCAGAGAAAGAACAAGAUGAGAAGCAGAAAAAAUGACAUUGGAAAGAAGUAAACUCACCAGAAGGGCAGAAGGAGAAGCCAUUAAAUUCCACACACAUCGUAUUUCAUCAUCAGAAUCCUGCAGUCAGAGCUGACACCGCGGAAUGAGUUUCUCGCUGUCCCGAGAAUAUAAAACCCGUCACAGCUGCUUCCCUUGGCACUCUGUGCCGGAGACCCCUUCGGCGGCAGACGGGGCUAUUAAUCAGGAGGAUCAGGAGGGACAUUGCCGAGGUCUGCUCUUUUGCGAGGCAUAGAUUGGAGAGCGUGUUGCGGCGAGAGGCAAGAACGGUGCCUUGUACGUCUCUGUUAGAGUUGGGCGUGCAGAGGAGUGAAGACCUCAGCCUCUUCAGGAAUGCUUUGGACUAACUUGGAGGAAUGUUGAGAAUGGAAACAAAAGCUGCGAUCUUCUCCUUGGUUUUGUUACGUUAUGGGAGCAUUGAUUCUAUUGGGUGUGAUCAAUGGCCUAAUUUGGGUAGAAAAGUCUCAUGUGGGAGCAAGGUAUUGAAGACAGAAACCUAUUACGUGUAGGGUUGUGCAAAAGACUGUUGUCUCGCAGGCUGACCCAAAAAUUUUCAACACGGCCUCAAUCUGAGUGAGGGAAAAGGAAGAAGUGUGGCAUGUGUGGAUGAAACGGUUCUGGAGUGUUGGUAAGCACCCCAGACUAACUUGUGACACCUUGUGUAGGCAAUCGGGUGAAUCUAGGAUGAGCAGUUCACCACCGAAAUAGUUUGUGCAAAGCUUUGGUCCUUGGAAAUAACUGACAAGAGAGUUUGCAGCAAAACACAAUUAGAUUUAUUUAAGGGUUAUAGGGGUACAAAAAGGAAGAAUAUGAUUAAUCAGAAGAAGCAAUAAACAACACAAUAAUAAGACUUACUGUAUAUCUCCAGACAGAUAGAUAUGGGCUGCUUUUUUAGUGUCCUGUUUCACAUACAUAUACAGAUCUGGUUUUAUUAACUUACUCAUUAUCUUGUAUGGUAUAUUGUUUUAACUGUAUUUUGAUAACUUAGGCCUUUAUUUUGGAGCCAUAGAAAUCUUUGGCUCAUGUCUGACCAUAACCCUGCUUGCUGCCUGCCUAUUUUGGAGUUUUGCUUGUCUGCAAGAACAGUUUGCUGUUAGCAUUAUGGAACUGUCGUCAUAUACGCGACUCUGAGCAGGGCAAUGAAACUUGGGAUGAACUCUCGUGUUGAACCUGUUUGUUUUGCAUGUAUAGCUAUGUAAUCAAUUUGAUACUGUUUGAAUGGUUGUACUUUAUAUAAGGGAAUCUUCUGUGUGUACUUAGAAUUACAAAUAAUUGUCCGGGGGUGAUGGCGGCUUGUAUAGCUAUGACCCUUUGCUUGUGGCGAUCAGGCUGCUUUGAAAAAGCACUUUGCUCCCUGUGUUCCGAUGAAAUUCAUUAUACCAGCUGCUUGGCUGACCACAAGGAAAGGAGAAGUAGUGACUGCCCUUGCAGUCUACAUCCAUUAGAGCACUGAUCUGAAUUUUAAUAUGCAGAUUGGUAGCAAGGUAUCUAGACACACACAGUGUUGAUAUGCUUUGAUGCCUUAAUGUACUGAAUGUAUUGUUGUUAUUCAUUGUUAUUGGAUGAUAAUAUAUUGAUGUAUUCUCCAAUGUAUUAAGAGGGAAUUUUUAAUUUAUGCUUUUGAUCUAUACUUCUGACCAGAAGUAUGAGUCAAAAACUGGCAGAUUAAGAUUUUGGGGGAGUCAUUUCUUUAUUUUCUUUUUCAUCUGUUCCCAAAAUGGGGAGGUUAGUCUGGUUUCACUAUGUCAAUUGGAUGUUUGAAGAACAUCUAUAUAUACGAGAAAUGACCCUUUUGUUUUCAAGAAUGACUGCAACCCAGACAUGAAACCUGUCUGACAUUGAUCAUCUGAUGAUGAGGACAUUGCGCUCUCAAUGUAAAUUUGCAAAGUGUUGUGAUUUAUACUCAUCCUCUAUGACAUCUUCCGAAUUAAUAGUGGGAGGCCUUUUGUUCUAUAAAGUAACCUAUCAGGAGCUACUGUGCAUCCCAGACCGCCAUCUUGGGAGGUACAAAAUAGAAACGGUGUAAGACCAUGGAGGGGCUGAGCUAGUUUUUGUUUCCCCUUUUGGGGUGGGGGAGGAGAGCAUUUCAUGUGUGUCUUGUCCUGUCUCCCCUUUGGGGAGAGAAAACUUCUCCCCUGUUGUGUCUCCUCUUUUGCGGGCAGAGAACCUUUCUCCUUCUUGAAUCUUCUCCCUCUCUUUCUCCUGACUUAGCUGUGGGCUUCAAGCUCUGGCUUUAGUCCAUUGACUUUUAUCAGGUCUCAGUUUGAGCUCUAUCCUUCGUGCAGCCUCUGCAGGCUGCAGCAACAGGAGUGGUGAGAUAUCUUGUUCUGUUCAAGGGAUUUGAAUCUGUGCUUAAUAUGUCUAGAUUGGUAAAACUGGUUUUGUUUGCUUCUGCUAAUGUAUGCUCUGCUAAUUGAUUACUAAUGUAAUUCAAAAUAAAAGGGUUAUCCUGAUA
Hemicordylus capensis (graceful crag lizard) is the source of this 2879-nucleotide long non-coding RNA. RefSeq lists it as uncharacterized. The transcript has 4 exons. Lineage: Eukaryota; Metazoa; Chordata; Lepidosauria; Squamata; Cordylidae. The record is from RefSeq and is a predicted model, not a curated record.